CCGGCCCCACCGAAACGUCACGCCGCGGGGCAUCCCGGGAAGUGGAGUGCCGCGGGGGCCGGCCGGGCCCGGAGGGCCGACACUCGGAACUACAAGUCCCGGCGGCCCGCGGGGUUCGGGGGGGGGGGGGGGCGGAGCCACCGAGAACUACAAGUCCCGGCGGCCCGCGGGGGCCGAGGACUACAACUCCCGGCGGCCCGCGGGGCCAGAAAGGGCGGAGCCCCAGAGAACUACAAGUCCCGGCGGCCCCCGGGGCCCGAGAACUACAAGUCCCAGCGGCCCCCGCCCCUGGCCUGUCCCGGCCUAGUGCGGGGAGCCCGGACCUGGGUUCUAAUCCCGCCACAAGUCACCGCGGGCGGGGAGUGCGUCUGUUCUGUCGUUGCCUUCUCCUCCCCCCCCCCAUCCCCCAAAGCUCCUUCGGUCGGAGUUGUCGUUGAUGACGAUGGCAUCCGAAGAGAACAUCCCAUCCUUGAAUCUAGCAGGACAAGUGCUGCUGAUCUCCAGAGGCUAAUGGCAUUGACCCUCACAGAGGAGACUGACAAACUAGCAAGCAACCUAAGUGGAGGAGAGAGGAUAAUUACAACACGCCGCUGGGAGCUGAGCACUAGCACUCGGUAUACGCCGGGUGUCGAUGGAUGGAUGGAUGGAUGGUCUUGCCCCAGUUCCCGCAGCAGGCCGGCGGCAGAGCCUGGACUCGGGCCAGGGUCCUCUGGCUUCCGGACCGGUAUCCCGCCAUCACGCCUCGCCACCCCGACCUCGUGCCGGGCAGCGCCUUCGCUCCAACUUUGA
Molecule: long non-coding RNA, 789 nt
Filed under: Ornithorhynchus anatinus (platypus)
Lineage: Eukaryota; Metazoa; Chordata; Mammalia; Monotremata; Ornithorhynchidae
Description: lncRNA (ENSOANG00000050384.1)
Source: RNAcentral